CACUGUCCUUCACUCAUCCUCUCCACACACUCUCUCCCUCAUUCUCGCAUCUCUUACCUUCAUUCUCUCUCCUUCAUACCCUCAAUCUCUCCCUCAUUCUCGCUGUCCUACUCUCUCUUUCAGUCUCUCUCUGUCUAACUCUCAGUCCCUAUCGUUCUCUUCCUUAUCACUCCCUCCCUUCACUACCUCCUCCAAAAACCUCUCUGCUCUCCCUCGCACCUUCCAGCUCCUCUCUCCCUCAGUGCCUCGCUCUUCUCCCUCUCCUUCACUCUGUCCCUUGCGUUCUCAUUCUCUUUAUCUCACAGUCUUUCACACACUAUAAUUACCGUCCUGUGAAUUCGUUCUCUUACUCCUCAUGAAUUCAACACAACAAUGCGUCUGCAGGACGGAACGGUGGCAGUUCCUACUAUGAGAUAACAAGGUGUAGAGCUGGAUUAACGCAGCAGGCCAAGCAGCAUCAGAAGAGCAGGAAGGCUGACGUUUCGGGCCGAGACCCAGAACCAGGAUUUCUUUUCUCUCAGGUAAUCUGUUCUACCAGCACAUGUUCUCUUUGGAUUUGGAGCCUGAUAGUUUGGUGUGCCUGACCAUGGUCUCUAGGUCUCUUUAAACUGGAGGAUCUUCAAUCUCUUGGAUCUCCUUCACAGAGGACUUGUUUCCUGUUGAAACAGAGAGAAGUCAAACUAAUCUACCAGGACAAGACCCUGGGAUGAAAGUGCAAUCAUCUGACAGGGAUGCCUGAGCCCAAUGGAACUGAUGAGAUCUGCUGUGUUUGGCUUUCCAUCACUUGUCUUCAGGGAGUUGAUGGAAUAGAAUUACUAAACGAAAAUAAAAAUGAAGAACCAAAAAUGUUAACAACAGCCUUUGAGCUAACAAAGAAAACUGGAACAUCAUCAAGGAACGUAUGUGGAACCUUUAUGACAAAUUGGUUAGGCCACAUCUAGAGUACUGUGGCCAAUUCUGGACGCAUACUUUAGGAAAGAUGUCAAGGUUCAGAGAGGGUGCAGAAGAGAUUGGUUGGAAUGGGACCAGCAAUGGGGGAUUGCUCAGGUGAGAUGCAAAAGCUUGAGUAAAUAAGAAGGAAGUGUCCCCAGUGGCAGAAGACUCAGUACAAGGAGAACUCAGAUUUGCGGUGACGAGAGAAGCAACACAGACGUCAGGAGGAAAACAUAUUUUACAAGAGAGCUUGGUCUGGAAGCAUUUCCUGAAAAAGCAGAAGAAACCGAUUCAAUGGCAAACAUUAAAUUACAUACUUAAACGGGAAAUAUCUGCAGGAAAAUUCAGAAAGAGCAGGUAUUUUGGCAUUAAUUGGAUAGCUAUUUCAAAUUGUGGGCAUGGACUUGGGGGACAAAUGGCCACCUUUGCAGCUACAAUUCUACGAUUCUAGAUCUUCAUAUUUACAUUUCUGCUACCCAUCAACGUUCUGUCAGUAUCUGUAGACAGAAAGCAGAGAUAUUCCAUCAAUUGCAAUUUUUGUUUUUGGACAACAUCCAGGUUUAAAUUAAAAUAUUGCUAGUAACAUUUAUGCCAGGGAUUAACCAUUUCCAUUUAGACAGAAUCUAACCACCGCCCUUGAUAUUCAUUGGUAUUACCAUCAGUGAAUCCCCACUAACAACA
This is a long non-coding RNA of Rhincodon typus (whale shark), 1614 nucleotides long. RefSeq lists it as uncharacterized. NCBI's taxonomy places the organism in Eukaryota, Metazoa, Chordata, Chondrichthyes, Orectolobiformes, Rhincodontidae. The transcript has 5 exons. The record is from RefSeq and is a predicted model, not a curated record.